CAGCAGCCGCGGGAAUACGGAGGAUCCAAGCGUUAUCCGGAAUCAUUGGGUUUAAAGGGUCCGUAGGCGGUCUUGUAAGUCAGUGGUGAAAGCCCAUCGCUCAACGGUGGAACGGCCAUUGAUAUUGCAGGACUUGAAUUAUUGGGAAGUAACUAGAAUAUGUAGUGUAGCGGUGAAAUGCUUAGAGAUUACAUGGAAUACCAAUUGCGAAGGCAGGUUACUACCAAUUGAUUGACGCUGAUGGACGAAAGCGUGGGUAGCGAACAGGAUUAGAUACCCCUGUAGUCCCUGUCUCUUAUAC
RNAcentral lists this ribosomal RNA (301 nucleotides) under uncultured bacterium. RNAcentral's name for it is "partial 16S ribosomal RNA". It matches the Rfam family "Bacterial small subunit ribosomal RNA", at positions 509 to 807 of the family's 1533-position model. The record is from RNAcentral.